AUUUUGAUUUCACAAAAUAUGAUAUGAUAUUUUUCCCAAUCUUUUCAAAUAGACAGUACUUUUUGGUGUGCUUUUCCUUUAAGACUGGUAUUGCGGACGUGCUAGACAUUGUCGUGCCUGAGAACGGUAUUCCAGAUGCGAGCAAAUAUGCGACAGACCUGGGUCUACUUCGGAAUUUUCUUGGCUACUAUCUCGAGUCAAAAGGACUGAACGCAAUGUGUGAGGUAAUAAUGAAAGAGCAG
Molecule: long non-coding RNA, 242 nt
Organism: Salvia splendens (bonfire salvia)
Lineage: Eukaryota; Viridiplantae; Streptophyta; Magnoliopsida; Lamiales; Lamiaceae
Exons: 3
Source: RefSeq, a predicted model, not a curated record